CCUUUGCCUGGGCUCUAGUAAUAACCGGACAAGAAACACACUCCUGGUCAUUAGCAUUAGCAGUAUUAUUGGUGUUAGCAUCAACAUUAUCAGUCCCAGCAAUUUCAUCAAUCUCCCCUUUCUGUAGCAAACACAUCAACACUGGCAAGUCCCUCCCCAAAAGAAGGUCCACAGGCAGAUUAUCUACCACCCCAACAGUCAGAAAAUAAGGCUGCUCAUCGAUUAACACAGUUAUUUCAGUCUGAGGUUGGUUCCAGCUCAUUUCUGGUCCCUGUGCUGGUGAUACCUGGAGGAUGUCGUACUGUUGCUCCCCGUUGUGUCCAGACCUGCGAUAUCGGAAGGGCUGGAGGCCGUACGUUGGUGGUGGGUCGAGCCAAGGUGGUUGUACGUGUAGAUGGUCCUCCUCUGCGUGCAUUGAGGACGCGAAGAAGUUGCUCCAGGAUGAUGGCCUCCCCGAUCUGCUCUUUGGUCCGUUGCUCCGGCUGAAUCCAACGGCGGUAGAGUCCUUUUAAGCGGUGAUAUGUCUCAGUGGGCGUUUCUCCAUGUGGCACAGAUGCACAGCGAAACUCUUGUCUGUAUGUCUCUGGUGAUAUGUCAAACUUGCUCAAUAAAGCUUCUUUCAGGUC
Molecule: long non-coding RNA, 626 nt
Organism: Melanotaenia boesemani (Boeseman's rainbowfish)
Lineage: Eukaryota; Metazoa; Chordata; Actinopteri; Atheriniformes; Melanotaeniidae
Exons: 4
Source: RefSeq, a predicted model, not a curated record